Molecule: long non-coding RNA, 1994 nt
Filed under: Manihot esculenta (cassava)
Lineage: Eukaryota; Viridiplantae; Streptophyta; Magnoliopsida; Malpighiales; Euphorbiaceae
Description: long non-coding RNA (MESC_LNC011327)
Rfam family: MIR159 microRNA precursor family (bases 372-567)
Source: RNAcentral
UUGCUUGGAUGAGUUAGCUAUAGCUACUGAUAUGCUACAAGCACUCUCUUUACUCCUCUCUUCUCCUUCCUUCGUUGACCCUUCCUGUGAGCUCCGCCUUUUUGAACAGUCGCUUUCUUCAACCUUGUCUCUCCUUAUUCUUUUAACCCUUCAAACAUGUUGGUCCGCUUCAGCUUUUGUCAGUGCAAUCUUUGGGAGUUGAUAUAUGGGGGGUGGAGGGAGGGGUUUCAGAGAGUUACAUGGCAUAGAUCUGCAUAAGAACAUCACGUAUCUGUGAGGCAUUUACAUACAAAUCUUUGUCAAUUUUGCAUUUUAUAUCUCUAUUUUUUAUUUAUUUUUUUUGUUUGUUGGAGUAGUAGUAGUGAUUGACAUGCAUUUACAGAGAGCUUUCUUCAGUCCACUCAUGGGUGGCAAUAAGAUUUAAUUAGCUGCCGACUCAUUCAUCCAAAUACUGAGUUAAAGGGCUAGCUGAGGAGGUUACCCAGUAAAUGAGUGAAUGAAGCGGGAGACAAAUUGAAUCUUAAGCUUCCUGUACUUGGACUGAAGGGAGCUCCCUUUACUGUUAUUUUAUCAAAUAAUAUAUAUGUUUUUCUUUUUCUUAGAUUCUUAACUUCUUCUCUACUUGCUUAUUCUCACAAUUUUAUAUUCUCAUGGCUGCCAAUGCUUUUGGUAUAAAGCACUUUGAUGCUCAUGAGGUAAUGCUAGAGAACCCUCAACUUAUCCGUUUUCUUUGAGCGAUCUUUAUCUAGCUUUUCUUAAACUUUUCUUCGAGCUUUGUUAUCUUGUUUGGUGACCUAGAAAGAGAACUGUACAUCUGGCUUAUUAUCUUCUGGGUAUUUCUGAUGCUUUUUUCUUAUGUAUUUUCGCUUCUGUCUGAUCUCCUUUUGCCUCGAAACAAUCAGGUUGCAAAGGUAGGGUUAUGGGAUAUGACGAGCUUAAGAAACUGACUUUUACUCGCCUUCAUAUCCAACAUCUGUUCUUAAAUAAAGAGCAACUGAUCUACAAAAUUUGCUUGCAGUAGCAACAGGUAGUGAUCUAAUGAGGGUUUGAUUUUUAGGGUUUGUAUAUAUCAAUCUGUAUGCAGUUCUUGUAAAAAGCUACCAUUAAAAGGCAACCGCAUGAGGGAGAUAAGCUUACAAGCUCAUCACGCUCCUCGACAAUAGCUUCUUGGGUCUUGCUUUCUAACAGGCAGCAACAAGUUCCUAGACGAGCUGGACAUGUCUCCCAGAGGUUCAAUUACCGAAAUAUCCUCAAACAGAGCUUCGAGCAGUGCUUCAAGGAGGAUAUUUUAAUUAAUUUGUAGCAAAUAUAUAGUUAGAAGAACUUUCUCUUCAUCUCUAGUUUCCUUCUGAUCUGCUUUGUUUACUGGUUUCUAAUUCAUUUAAAUACGAGUAGUUUUCUUUAUUAUUUUCUGUCCUCUUUCAGUUAAGCAAAGCUUCUCUUGGGCUUCUAAGCUUGAGCACUGUAUUUUCACGUACUACAUAUUGGAACUGUAUCUUGUAUAUAUAUAUAUAUAUACUGUCGUUUUCAUUAUGUGAAUUCCAUCGAUGGGUUUUGUUUUCCGAUCUUCCAGGCAAAAGAUCCAAACUUCUAAGGUCCUUUCCUUGAUUUGCAAUGUAAAAGAAAACGUGAGACUAAGAUGGUUGUGGCAGUAUGAGUAGUGUGGUGAAAGGGAAAGCUGGAGCCCUGGUUUUUUGUUUGUCUUGAAGCCUUUUAGGAGUGGCAAAAUGUGUCACCACCACAAAAUACAAAUGGAGACGCCUCAUGGAAACUAUAGGAAGACUCGGGAAAAGGUAGAUUAGGUCUUUAAUCUGUCAUCUUCUCUCUUUUCCAACAUCUAUUCAAUUCUCUAAUGUGGUUAUUUAGGAACCAUCCACAUAUAGUUAUCUUUGAUUUUCUUUAUCUCUAAUUAAUAACUUUAGGUACUUCAAUUAAUUAUUAAGAUAGUGGAUAGCAGAAAAAGAAAAGGUACAUUAGUAUACUUAAGUGUCCAU